Molecule: non-coding RNA, 501 nt
Organism: Pelodiscus sinensis (Chinese soft-shelled turtle)
Lineage: Eukaryota; Metazoa; Chordata; Testudines; Trionychidae
Source: RefSeq, a predicted model, not a curated record
AGCAGGAAGUCUUCUUGAGAAGCUCCCAGGUGGCCUUCCGAGUGACGUGAAUCCAGCAGGAAGUCUUCUUGAGGGGCUCCCGGGUGGCCUUCUGAGUGACGUGAAUCCAGCAGGAAGUCUUCUUGAGAAGGACGCAGUUCCAGUAGAAAAUGUUCUUCCGCUCCCAGGUGGCCUUCAGGGCUAAUCAGGGAAAUGAUCUGCGCACUAAGAAUUUGGAGUUAACCAUCCAAUGCUGACAAAACCGGCCUGGCUGACUUCGAGCACGUCACUUGCCAUUCCCCUUCCCAUGCUGCUGCCGGACAACUUUCCACCAAUCACACGCUGAAUGAAAACGUCAAUCUGACCGAUAGGGCUUCUGGCUAAUUCCUGGGAUGGUCAUUGAUUUGUGCUGCUUUUUGAUGUAACACAGGGUGGAGGGACACUGAGCUCUGUCCCACGCCUGCCUGGGGGAGGUGAGAGCUUUGCAAAUCUUCAAAUAAAAUAAAUAGAAAUGCACAAAAA